This 369-nucleotide ribosomal RNA is filed under the name Acanthamoeba griffini. RNAcentral's name for it is "SSU rRNA". It matches the Rfam family "Eukaryotic small subunit ribosomal RNA", at positions 753 to 1110 of the family's 1831-position model. The record is from RNAcentral. Lineage: Eukaryota; Discosea; Longamoebia; Acanthamoebidae.
UACCGGGAAAAAAUAAGAGUGUUCAAAGCAGGCAGAUCCAAUUUUCUGCCACCGAAUACAUUAGCAUGGGAUAAUGGAAUAGGACCCUGUCCUCCUAUUUUCAGUUGGUUUGCCGCGAGGACCAGGGUAAUGAUUAAUAGGGAUAGUUGGGGGCAUUAAUAUUUAAUUGUCAGAGGUGAAAUUCUUGGAUUUAUGAAAGAUUAACUUCUGCGAAAGCAUCUGCCAAGGAUGUUUUCAUUAAUCAAGAACGAAAGUUAGGGGAUCGAAGACGAUCAGAUACCGUCGUAGUCUUAACCAUAAACGAUGCCGACCAGCGAUUAGGAGACGUUGAAUACAAAACACCACCAUGGGCAUUGCGGUCGUCUUUGG